RNAcentral lists this long non-coding RNA (4129 nucleotides) under Salmo salar (Atlantic salmon). RNAcentral describes it as "lncRNA (ENSSSAG00000104917.1)". Lineage: Eukaryota; Metazoa; Chordata; Actinopteri; Salmoniformes; Salmonidae. The record is from RNAcentral.
CCAUUGGCAGUAAUAUCUUUGACAUCCUGUUGGGGCUGGGUUUCCCCUGGGCUCUGCGCACUCUGGUGGUGGACAACGGAUCAUUGGUCUACAUCAAUAACAAGGGCCUGGUGUAUUCUGUCGUCCUGCUGCUGGCCUCUGUCUUCCUCACAUUCUCCUAACCUGCCACGUUUGUUCUCCUAACCUCCCAAGUUAGUUCUCCUAACCUGUCACAUUAGUUCUCCUAACCUGCCACAUUAGUUCUCCUAACCUGCCACGUUUGUUCUCCUAACCUCCCAAGUUAGUUCUCCUAACCUGUCACAUUAGUUAUCCUAACCUGCCACGUUUGUUCUCCUAACCUGCCACGUUAGUUCUAACCUGCCAUGUUAGUUAUCCUAACCUGCCACGUUUGUUCUCCUAACCUCCCAAGUUAGUUCUCCUAACCUGUCACAUUAGUUAUCCUAACCUGCCACGUUUGUUCUCCUAACCUGCCACGUUAGUUCUAACCUGCCAUGUUAGUUAUCCUAACCUGCCACGUUUGUUCUCCUAACCUCCCAAGUUAGUUCUCCUAACCUGUCACAUUAGUUAUCCUAACCUGCCACGUUUGUUCUCCUAACCUGCCAUUUAAACAAACCAUCAGUAUCACCAUACCGGUGCUAGACAAGUUCAUUGUGUGGCUCCAUCUAUUACGCAAUCACCCAGUCAUAGCCAAGCUAUUCCUUUCUUUACCUCAUGCAACUUUUCUUUCCCAUUUCCAUUAAACCCCUCUCCAUCUGCCCAUCCCCUGUUCUCUCUUCAAAUCCCCCUCUUCCCUUCUUACCUCCCAGGUCAUGAGUGUCCAUCUGAACCACUGGAAGCUGGACCGCCGUCUGGGCCUGGGGCUGAUAUUACUCUAUGCCGUCUUCCUGCUCUGCUCCAUCUUCUUUGGGCAGAUGUGAGGCUGACGCUGGGGUCGAAGGUCAACCCUGAUUUGCCUUCCUGUCAGCUGCCACGUCUUGAAGUCCUCUGUCUCCCUGAGAUACUCUGUCCUAAAGCCAAAAAAAACAGCCUCAGCUACAUCGUGCUACAGUUAACAUGUGAUGUACCACAAACAGGAUAUCCUUGGGUGACAUUGUACACAAAUACACGUUUUACUAUCCUUGUGGGGACCUAAAACCCUUGCCCUAACCCUAAAUAGCCUUUGUCCACAAGGGAGAAUUUUCCUUGUUUUACUAUCCUUGUGAGGACUUCCGGAUAGUCUCACACACACACACACACACACACACACACACACACACACACACACACACACACACACACACACACACACACACACACACACACACACACACACACACACACACACACACACACACACACGUUGUGUUCUUCUAUCCUUGUGGGGACCUAAAAUGCAUUUCCAUUCAAAACACUAUUUUCCCUAACUCCUAACCAUAAACCACUAACCCCUUACCCUAAUUCUAACCUUAAUGGUAACCCUAAACCUAAAUCCUAAACUUAAAAUAACCUUUGUCCUCGUGGGGACGUGGGAAAUGUCCCCACGAGGGACAACUUUCCUUGUUUCACUUGUGGUGACUCUUGGGGAUUUUAAGGUCCCCUCAAGGAUAGAAGAACCUACUCACAUACACACACACGCGCACACACACGCACACACACACACACACAGCAGUCUUUUCUAUAGCACAAACCUUUUUCUUCCGAAGUUUGUUGUUUUCAUACUUAGCAACACCUAAUGUUCAGCAGUGACCAAUGGAAAAAUAAUACAGUAGACUAAUCCUCGUUUCUUGACCUUACGUUUGGAACGCCCAGUGUUUGUUUUCAAUGUAUGCCCUAGCUGACAUUACCUUGUUGUGUGGUGAUACAGUGUGUACAUUUGUGCAAAUGUGUAGCAGUGCUGGGGUACAGUGGAGCAUAGAACUGUCAGUAAGGUACUAUGAACGAAGCAAUAAGAAAAAUGAACGCUGUUAACGUGUCAUAGACUUAUAAUAGAAGAAGUAUUCGUAAGAGAUGCAGAUUAUGUGACUAGAAUUUGUAAAGUGACUGACCGAGUUCCUCCAAAGAGGAUUCAUUAAUAAUUUUUUGCCUCACUGCUUUUGAACAUGUACUGUUACAAACUAAGUAAAUAAUAGGCUAACGUGAAAUCUACGAUUUUAGCAUUUUUAGAAGUGUUAUUACUAUUGACGACAUGUUUCUAUGAGUGUCACAACCUUUGAUAUCAUGCGUACGGGUCUGUGGUAAUAGUUCACUACGUUUAGGGACGAUCAUUGUUUGUAUUACUGUACAAUGAUUAUUAGGUCUACAAGACCAUACUUUUUACUGUUUCUAAAUGUUUACUAAAUAUUUUACAUAGUUUUACAAAACAUUUAUGUCAGACAGACUAGAUUUGUGGUGUUUUUGAUAUAAGCACUAAAUAACAUAUUCUUCCCAUGAUAUUUGUGAGAAUAUCAUAUACUGUAACUGAAAAAUGAAGUAUAUUUUUGUCACUUUGGAAAGUGAUACUAAAUAAGACUGACACUUCAGAUCAGCACAGUCCACCUAUAUCUGAUGAAAGGAGAAUAAGGUUAUAUUGAAUUGUAUCACUUUCUAAGCCACUAUUCUAUUUAAGCCAGCUAAGAUCCUUUUUAGCACUGAACCGCCUUGAUUUAGAAUCUUUAUUUAUUAUUUCCAACAGAUUUUAUAUAUUUCUUUUGUCAAGUGCUUGUGAUUACAAUACUUAAUGGUUUGCUCUGCAAAAUAGUAUAUUCUCAAAAACGUAUAGGUAUUUAUUUACAGGGUGGAUAUGAUUUCCUGAAAUCAUUUAGAUUUCAGAUCAGAUCAAAUGACUCAAACUUUUUGCCAAAUGAAAGGACUGCAGAAUACAUUCUUUAUGUGAUCGAACUAUUGCACUGAACGAAAACAUAAAUGCAACAUGCAACAAUUUCAAAGAAUGUACUGAGUUACAGUUUAUAUAAGGAAAUGGAAAUAAAUUCAUUAGGCCCUAAUCAAUGGAUUUCACAUGACUGGGCAGGGGCACAGCCAUGUGUGGGCCUGGGGGGCAUAGGCCCAACCACUUGGCAGUCUGGCCCACCGACUGGGCAGCCAGGCCCAGCCAAUCAGUAUAUGCUUUUCCCCACAAAAGGGAUUUAUUACAGACAGGAGUACUCCUCAGUUUCAUCAGUUGUCUGGGUGGCUGGUCUCAGACGAUCCUACAGGUGAAGAAGCCGGAUGUGGAGAUCCUGGGCUGGCGGGGUUACACGUGCUCUGCGGUUGUGAGGCCGGUUGGAUGUACUGCCAAAUUCUCUAAAGGGACGAUAGAGGUGGCUUAUGGUAGAGAAAUUAACAUUCAAUUCUCUGGCAACAGCUCUGGUGGACAUUCCUGCAGUCAGCAUGCCAAUUGCACGCUCCCUCAAAACUUGAGACAUCUGUGGCAUUGUGUUGUGUGACAAAACUGCACAUUUUACAGUGGCCUUUUAUUGUCGCCAGCACAAGGUGCACAUGUCUAAUGAUCGUGCUGUUUAAUCAGCUUCUUGAUAUGCCACACCUGUUAGGUGGAUGGAUUAUCUUCGCAAAGCAGAAAUGCUCACUAAUAGGGAUGUCAUCAAAUUUGUUUACAAAAUUUGAGAGAAAUACGCUUUUUGUGUGUAUGGAACAUUUCUGAGAUCUUUUAUUUUAGCUCAUGAAACAUGAGACCAACACUUAACAUGUUGCGUUUAUAUUUUUGUUCGGUAUAGUUCUGCUCUUUGAUUUCAGCCACUCAACAUUUUUUACAUUUCAAAUUAAGGAGUAGAGGAGUAGAGACUGUUGAGUUGUACAGGCUGGUUGCUGGUGCUGCUAAGUAUCCCAGGUUUAGUCACCUGUCGUAUGUCUAGUGUAGUCCUUUAUUAAGUACCUACUGAGAUAGGAAGACCACCAAGGAGUCCCCACUACCAACCAACCAGUCAUAAAUCCUGCCUCUGUUAGCAGUUCAGGUCAGAGCACCAAAUAAAACCCUGAUUUAGUUCUCACAUGGAAGAUCUGUGUUUGUAGUGUGUUGUUCCUCAGUGUUUUAUUCUGUUAGGUUGGAGCCGCCAGAUAUUCCAGCACUGAGAUUCGUUACUUUAGACAUGAUCUCUGAUCAUUGAGAACUUUUGUAUGUUGUUGAGUGCAAUAAAUAAAAUCUGUGCAAUAACAA